Molecule: ribosomal RNA, 461 nt
Filed under: uncultured bacterium
Lineage: Bacteria
Description: bacterial SSU rRNA
Rfam family: Bacterial small subunit ribosomal RNA
Source: RNAcentral
GAUGAACGCUGGCGGCGUGCAUAACACAUUCAAGUCGAACGGUGACGAGGACUUCGGUCCUCUGAUCAGUGGCGGACGGGUGAGUAACGCGUGAGCAACCUGCCCUAUAUUGCGGGAUAACAACCGGAAACAGUUGCUAAUACCGCAUGACGUAUUCGGAUCGCAUGUUCUGAAUACCAAAGAAUUUUGAUAUAGGAUGGGCUCGCGUCCGAUUAGGCAGUUGGUGGGGUAACGGCCCACCAAACCGACGAUCGGUAGCCGAACUGAGAGGUUGAACGGCCACAUUGGGACUGAGAUACGGCCCAGACUCCUACGGGAGGCAGCAGUCGGGAAUAUUGCGCAAUGGAGGAAACUCUGACGCAGUGACGCCGCGUAUAGGACGAAGGUCUUCGGAUUGUAAACUAUUGUCGUUAGGGAAGAUAAUGACGGUACCUGACUAAGAAGCCCCGGCUAACUACGUG